This 1277-nucleotide ribosomal RNA is filed under the name uncultured fungus. RNAcentral describes it as "eukaryotic LSU rRNA". The stretch from base 628 to 1277 matches the Rfam family "Eukaryotic large subunit ribosomal RNA", at positions 1 to 657 of the family's 3401-position model. Lineage: Eukaryota; Fungi. The record is from RNAcentral.
GGAAGGAUCCCUAAACAGAAUCGUGCGGUAGUGCUGGUUCUUACAAGUGCACACCGCCACUUCUCUAUUCACCCCAUGUGCACCUCUGCGUCGCCGGCAUCUCCGGCUUCGCCUUAUUUACACAAAAACCUUUGUAUCGAAUGUCUUGUUGGAACGAUAAUAAAAUACAACUAUCAACAACGGAUCUCUUGGCAUCCCACUCGAUGAAGAACGCAGCGAAUUGCGAUAAGUAAUGUGAAUUGCAGAAUUCAGUGAAUCAUCGAAUCUUUGAACGCACCUUGCACCCUCCAGUCUUCUGGAGGGUAUGCCCGGUUGAGUAUUAUGAUCACCUCAAACCUCUGGCUUUCUUAUUGCAAAGGCCGAUGCUUUGACAAAGGCGCCCACCGGGGUGCCGACAGUUGGAGUUUGGCUUGGAGAACCGGCAGGUCUUGGACUUGAGUUUAUGUUGGUUCCAUAUGGAUCGACUCACUCGAAAUGCAUUAGCUGGCAACCCGCUCCUGACGGUUACCACUUGGCGUAGUAAGUCUUAUUCGUCAAGGACACCUUGCGCCUUCACAGGGGCAGGUGGCCGUUGUGCUGUGUCUUGAUGGCCGCUUCUAAUCGUCUCCGGACAACACACGAAACCUUUAAUCUCAACUCGGGUAGGACUACCCGCUGAACUUAAGCAUAUCAAUAAGCGGAGGAAAAGAAACUAACAAGGAUUCCCCUAGUAACGGCGAGUGAAGCGGGAAGAGCUCAAAUUUUAAAUCUGGCGUCUUACGGGCGUCCGAGUUGUAAUCUAGAGAAGCGUUUUCUGUGCUGGACCCACCAUAAGUUACCUCGAACGGUACAUCAUAGAGGGUGAGAAUCCCGUGUGUUGGUGGGACGCCCAGUGCUCUGCGAUACGUUCUCGACGAGUCGAGUUGUUUGGGAAUGCAGCUCAAAAUGGGAGGUAAAUUCCUUCUAAAGCUAAAUACAUUGGGAUGACCGAUAGCGAACAAGUACCGUGAGGGAAAGAUGAAAAGCACUUUGGAAAGAGAGUUAAACAGUACGUGAAAUUGUUGGUAGGGAAACGCUUGAAGUCAGUCGCGUCUUCUUGGACUCAACCUUGCUUCUGCUUGGUGCACUUCCUUGUUGACGGGCCAGCGUCCAUUUCACUCGUCGGAAAAGAGCGGUUUGAAUGUGACAGCUUUCGCUGUGUUAUAGCCUACCGUUGUAUGCGACGUCUGGGAUGGAUCUUACAGCACGCUUUCGGUGGUGCUUGUGUUGGCGUAAUGGCUUUAAACGACCCGUCUUGA